This 1264-nucleotide long non-coding RNA is filed under the name Anas platyrhynchos platyrhynchos (common mallard). RNAcentral describes it as "lncRNA (ENSAPLG00000031163.1)". The record is from RNAcentral. Lineage: Eukaryota; Metazoa; Chordata; Aves; Anseriformes; Anatidae.
AUGGUCAGCAGCGGUUUUGGGAAGCCCUCCCAUGGGUGCAAGGGAGCACGAGAGCCCCCAGGGGCAGCACACAAUGGGAAAAACCUGGUUCCCUGGGACAACUUCUCCCGGCUGCUUUCAGAGCAUCAUUGCCAGCGACUCCCGCUACUGCUGCCCUCCAGGCCCAGCUCCAGCAGAGAGGUGCAUCCGUCCCUCGACAGAGGGAUAAUGGGAUCCAGGAUGCAUGUGAAUUCAUUCAGCUCCAGAGCUGGAACAAUUGCUGUUUCGUUACAUAAAAUAAGAACAUUAAACCUGAUGGCAAUUCCAGAGCAUAACAUUUCAGGGAAGCCAUGGAAGUGGUGGAGCAGCUAUCUUCGACCCUUGGUCCAUCAUAAAUGGGGAAAGAGAUGUUUGUCUGAAAGGGAGAAAUUCACCGUGCUUCUGGAGGCAGCUGCUGCUUUGAUUUACACAGCAGCCUCCUGCUCUGCUGUGCUCCUCCAGCGCUGGCUUUUGGGGCUCCCACAGCUGACAAGGAGGUGCACCAAGCAGUACAUGGAAUGAUUUGAGGAAGAAAUACCAACGUAGGUCUGUGCCAAGCCUUGUGAGGGAGCUAGGUGGGAAGAGCUCUACCCUGAACAGGCUCCCUGGGUGUAUUAUGUACACAGACCACCCUGGUCUUCUCCUCGUUCACUCUCCAAAAUGCCCAACUUUUCCCAUCUGACUGCAGCAUUUUCAUUCACAGCUUCAGAGCAGGCAGGGAUACAUUUUUCUCGGGUGCUGUACAAGCACCUACCUUCUCAACGUGCUCGCUGCUGUCUCGUGCUGCUGUCAGAGCUGUGGUGCUCCUGUCACUCCCUAUGAGCUGUGGUUUAAGGCCCUUUUAAAUCCCAGCGACCAGAGCCUGGCAGCAGAGGUGGCUUCCUGCUAGGGGUGAUGGGUCCCACUCUCCAUCUGCCGAGUCCGCAAGCAAAGAUAAUCCCCUGCCCGUCACAGCGUCCGACCUGCCCCGUGCCCCGAGGGGAAUCACACAAAGCACACAGGACUGCGGGCAGCGGGGUGCCCUUGUCACCUACAGGAGAGAGCCAGGGAAAUGAGUUAAAAUGGAUUUAAGGCCGGGUUUUGCUUUGGAGGAGCUGUGGCCUGGUGUCUCGUCUUCAUGCAGAUUCUGUCAGCUUUGAAACAGUUGAGUUUGGACCCUUCCUAAUAACACAUCCAGUAUUUCAUGCUGUGCUAAUGACAGAUGUAAUAUCACACUUAAAAUAAAUAAUUGGCACUUUUAAAAGCA